AGUUGAGCACUAGCUGUAUACUAAAAUUGGAACGAUACAGAGAAGAUUAGCAUGGCCCCUGCACAAGGAUGACAUGCAAAUUCAUGAAGUGUUCCAUAUUUUU
Molecule: small nuclear RNA, 103 nt
Organism: Cebus imitator (Panamanian white-faced capuchin)
Lineage: Eukaryota; Metazoa; Chordata; Mammalia; Primates; Cebidae
Source: Ensembl